AGUGAACGCUGGCGGCAGGCCUAAUACAUGCAAGUCGAACGGCAGCACAGCAGAGCUUGCUCUGUGGGUGGCGAGUGGCGGACGGGUGAGGAAUACAUGGGAAUCUGCCCAGUCGUGGGGGAUAACGUAGGGAAACUUACGCUAAUACCGCAUGCGCCCUUCGGGGGAAAGCCGGGGACCGUAAGGCCUGGCGCGAUUGGAUGAGCCCAUGUCGGAUUAGCUAGUUGGCGGGGUAAAGGCCCACCAAGGCGACGAUCCGUAGCUGGUCUGAGAGGAUGAUCAGCCACACUGGAACUGAGACACGGUCCAGACUCCUACGGGAGGCAGCAGUAGGGAAUAUUGGACAAUGGGCGCAAGCCUGAUCCAGCCAUGCCGCGUGAGUGAAGAAGGCCCUCGGGUUGUAAAGCUCUUUUGUCCGGAAAGAAAGCGCCGGGUUAAUACCCUGGUGUCCUGACGGUACCGGAAGAAUAAGCACCGGCUAACUUCGUGCCAGCAGCCGC
This 500-nucleotide ribosomal RNA is filed under the name uncultured bacterium. RNAcentral's name for it is "bacterial SSU rRNA". It matches the Rfam family "Bacterial small subunit ribosomal RNA", at positions 29 to 518 of the family's 1533-position model. The record is from RNAcentral.